RNAcentral lists this transfer RNA (74 nucleotides) under Philodulcilactobacillus myokonensis. RNAcentral's name for it is "Philodulcilactobacillus myokoensis tRNA". It matches the Rfam family "tRNA". From Rfam's summary of the family: Transfer RNA (tRNA) molecules are approximately 80 nucleotides in length. Their secondary structure includes four short double-helical elements and three loops (D, anti-codon, and T loops). The record is from Rfam by way of RNAcentral. Lineage: Bacteria; Bacillati; Bacillota; Bacilli; Lactobacillales; Lactobacillaceae.
CGGGAAGUAGCUCAGCUUGGUAGAGCGCCUGGUUUGGGACCAGGAGGUCGCAGGUUCGAAUCCUGUCUUCCCGA